ACCGGAUAGGACCUUUAGGCGCAUGUCUUUAGGUGGAAAGCUUUUGCGGUGUGGGAUGGGCCCGCGGCCUAUCAGCUUGUUGGUGGGGUGAUGGCCUACCAAGGCGACGACGGGUAGCCGGCCUGAGAGGGUGUCCGGCCACACUGGGACUGAGAUACGGCCCAGACUCCUACGGGAGGCAGCAGUGGGGAAUAUUGCACAAUGGGCGCAAGCCUGAUGCAGCGACGCCGCGUGGGGGAUGACGGCCUUCGGGUUGUAAACCUCUUUCACCAUCGACGAAGGUCCGGGUUUUCUCGGAUUGACGGUAGGUGGAGAAGAAGCACCGGCCAACUACGUGCCAGCAGCCGCGGUAAUACGUAGGGUGCGAGCGUUGUCCGGAAUUACUGGGCGUAAAGAGCUCGUAGGUGGUUUGUCGCGUUGUUCGUGAAAUCUCACGGCUUAACUGUGAGCGUGCGGGCGAUACGGGCAGACUAGAGUACUGCAGGGGAGACUGGAAUUCCUGGUGUAGCGGUGGAAUGCGCAGAUAUCAGGAGGAACACCGGUGGCGAAGGCGGGUCUCUGGGCAGUAACUGACGCUGAGGAGCGAAAGCGUGGGGAGCGAACAGGAUUAGAUACCCUGGUAGUCCACGCCGUAAACGGUGGGUACUAGGUGUGGGUUUCCUUCCUUGGGAUCCGGUGCCGUAGCUAACGCAUUAAGUACCCCGCCUGGGGAGUACGGCCGCAAGGCUAAAACUCAAAGGAAUUGACGGGGGCCCGCACAAGCGGCGGAGCAUGUGGAUUAAUUCGAUGCAACGCGAAGAACCUUACCUGGGUUUGACAUGCACAGGACGCGUCUAGAGAUAGGCGUUCCCUUGUGGCCUGUGUGCAGGUGGUGCAUGGCUGUCGUCAGCUCGUGUCGUGAGAUGUUGGGUUAAGUCCCGCAACGAGCGCAACCCUUGUCUCAUGUUGCCAGCGGGUAAUGCCGGGGACUCGUGAGAGACUGCCGGGGUCAACUCGGAGGAAGGUGGGGAUGACGUCAAGUCAUCAUGCCCCUUAUGUCCAGGGCUUCACACAUGCUACAAUGGCCGGUACAAAGGGCUGCGAUGCCGCAAGGUUAAGCGAAUCCUUUUAAAGCCGGUCUCAGUUCGGAUUGGGGUCUGCAACUCGACCCCAUGAAGUCGGAGUCGCUAGUAAUCGCAGAUCAGCAACGCUGCGGUGAAUACGUUCCCGGGCCUUGUACACACCGCCCGUCACGUCAUGAAAGUCGGUAACACCCGAAGCCAGUGGCCUUAACC
RNAcentral lists this ribosomal RNA (1274 nucleotides) under Mycobacterium intracellulare. Its description in RNAcentral is "bacterial SSU rRNA". It matches the Rfam family "Bacterial small subunit ribosomal RNA", at positions 168 to 1440 of the family's 1533-position model. The record is from RNAcentral. Lineage: Bacteria; Bacillati; Actinomycetota; Actinomycetes; Mycobacteriales; Mycobacteriaceae.